AAUUGUCAAUCCUAUGAUCAGGAACAUUUAGGAUGUGUCUACGAAAGAAUGGUCUCAUGAAUCUAACUUCAUUAGAUUACAUUCUUCCAAUCACAUAUUCCUUGGACUUUAUCGUUUAAGCAUAUAACAUUUAUAUGAGACCGCUCAAACAAUAAUCUUUGCCCUUUAUAUUAAACCAGAUUAGUUUAACAUGUGAAAUGUCCGUAAAGUAUCAUCACAUGAUUGGUUUUAGGGCACAUUUCCAACACUUCUAGAUGAUUAAAUGUAGUCAUCAAAGAAGAAAGGUGAAUUAAAAUGAAGUUUUUAUUCACUAAGUGAUUGGAUUAAAUAUAAUCAAUUGGAUUGAUGUCAAUCACCUCACUGCCUUGCUAAUUAGAACCUAAAAUGAUUGUACACCGAUACACUCUUGUAGUGAGUAAUUAAUGGAUGAUGGAAAUAAUUAAUUGAAUUAAUUAAGUGUUGUGAUUAAUUUAGAAAGUCUAAAGAAAUCAUAAAAGCGAUAAAAGAUCGUUUUGGGCUUAAAGAAACGUUCGGGUUUAAUUGGGCCCAUUGGGCUUUUAUUCAAGCAUUGGAUGACUAGAAAUAUAUAAAAGCCCAAAGCCCAAACCAACACAAAGUGGCCGGCCCUUGCAAGUGGAAAGAGAGAGAUAUUUAGUCAAGUUGUUGACUAGGUUUCUUUUUGUCUAUAUAAGGAACUUUAUAGAGUUUUAAUCCUUAGGGGUUUUGUGUGUUUUUGAACAACAAAGAGGCAAAAGAAAAUAGCUCUCUAAAACCACAAAGGCCGGCCACCUAGAGGGUGUUUUAGCUAACAAUCUUUCACCCUUUUGGUUAUUCCUCCAUCCAUCUCACUACACUAGUGGGUGUGGAUAUUUAGAGGUCUUCUCCUUUGGAGACUUAAGGAGAACCUUGGAGCACUCUUGCUAACAAAAUGGAGGAGGCAAGGAGGGAGGCUAGGCUCAAGGACUUCAAGGAACAAAGGGCUUGGAGGUGGUCCAUCCUUGGUCUCAAGUCUAGAUCAAGAGGUAUAGGACUAAAACUUUCACUUUGUUCUUUAAUAAAAUGUUUUGAUGCAUUAUAUAUAAACCUAUGAACCUUGAAGGGGAUUUGCAUGACUAUAGCUUUGAUUAUUAUUUGAUAAAUUGCUUCUGUUGCUCAUGUAUAUAAAUUUUGAAUUGUAUAUGCAUGCUAGUCAUUUAGAAAUCCCAUGUAUUAAUCUCAUAAUUUUCCCUUCAACAGCACUGUCAACAAAUGCAUUAGGUGUGCUCUCUGCCAAAUUGGAUGUUUUGAGGGUAGUGGCGUGUUCUUUGUGGUCCACUCCAAUUCCUGAUAGGAGCAUAUUUAUGCGCCUUAGUUAGCUAGUUCUUAUGCAUUUCCAUGGUGUUUUCUUAGUUAAAGUAGUAUUUUAAGCUAGUUUUAUGUGUUUUCAGGUUUUAAGGCCAAAGGAUGCAAGAAGAUGCAUUUUGGAGCUUUUUGGAGCAAAAUUGGGCUUGGAAUGAUUAUCACAUGAUUGGAGCCCAGGUUUGGACGAAUUUGAAGACUUGAAGAUGAUGAUUCCUACUUCAACAAGGUUUCCUAGUUGAAGUAGGAAAGUGCUUACAUGAAGGAGGAUUCCUAAUCGACGAAGGAUUCCUAAUCGACGAAGGAUUCCUAAUCAACGAAGGAUUCCUAAUUGAAGAUGGAUUCCUAAUCACAUGAGGAUUCCUAAUUGAAGAUGGAUUCCUAGAAGAACAAGGAUUCCUCCUCCAACAAGGAUUCCUACUUGAAGUAGGAAAGUUAAGCCAAGGUUUCCUACUUUGGUUUGAUUUUUCCUAAUUGUCCCUAAAAGUUCCAGCAAUUAUGAAGACUUUCUAAGCAUUCUAGGACACAAAACAAAAGCCUAGAACCCUUUUGAACCCUUGCCACACCCCCCUUUGCAUUUCCUCUUCCUUAUUUCCUGUUUUUAUGCUUUAAAACACCUUCCUUUUGUGUUUUAAACCCUAGCCGAAUUUCCCUUGUCCUUUCCUUUAAUUUUCUGAUUUAUUUCCUAAUUCUAGAAUCCUUAGACUUAAUUUCUGAUUUCCUAAUCAACCUAGGGUUUUAAUUUCUGUUUUCCUUUAAAUAAACCUCCUUGUUGCAGCCACAAAACAUUCCACACACAUCCAUACAACUCCAUUCACGCCAGAAACCUUUCCCUCACCUUUGCUGUGCCCAACCUUCACCCAAAUCCAUAUUUUCUGACCCCAAAACCUUCCUAGCGUGCCAUACACCCAUCCUAGACACUUUCCCACCAUUCUCCAUCAUCCAAAACCCAUCCAAAUCAUCUCCAUACCUUGUGCCGCAGCAAGAAGGAAGAAUGAGUGCUCUUGAAUGUGCUUGCUAGUCUAUUGCAGAUUGCUGGAACUUUUAGGUGUAAUCUUUCUUAUGUUUUCAAUAUUUCAAUUCAAUAAACUUUGUGUUGUGAGUAUGAGGAACUAAACCCCCUUAGUUGGGGGGUGAUUCGAAACCAUAUACAUGCUUGCAAUAUGAUUUGAUUACAUUCAGUUGUUAUUUCAUAAGUUGUGGAUUCAAUUCGUUCAUCUACUUGAUUGAUAACUUAUUUGUGUAUGUUGAUUGAGAGUGCACGCUUAGUUUUCAUGCAUGAAUAUGAUGCUAGAUUAUGAGGGAGUUUCACCUAAUAGUUACAAUCUUAUAAUCACAAGUAGUGAAGGUCGCUUGAAAACGAUCGCGUUGAAUGAAUUCUUGGCACGAGUUUCAUGCUCAUCAUAGUAACUGAUGUGAAAAUUAUGUUGACACUCAAAUUAACCCUCUUUUUAUCAAUUGUAGCAAAGUAUGUAAGUAGGGAUCGUUCUAAACCGGGGAUUAGGAGGGAUUGCAAAAUCACUUGAAAACGGACUCAAAUACGUAAAAACAAGUUUAAAACACUAAACUAAACUCAAAGAAUGCAAAACUAAACUUUAAAACACCAAAACAAACCAAAAGACUCAAAACAGCCCAAAAACACUCAAAACUGCCUUAAAACCACAAUCUGGGCAGUUUUGAACACUAGACUCAACCUUGGACGAAAAUUGGUUUUAUCUUGACCUAAGACACUUAAAAACAUAAACUAAAGUGAUUUCUAACUACUAUGACUCAACUAAGUAAAUGGGGAUUGAUUUUGGACGAAUUUAACUUUUAAAACAAAAACUUUAAAAACAAACUUUAAUGAAAACGAUUUUGAUGAAAUAGAAUGGGGAAAGGCUAGUUAGAAGGUUCCCUCUCCACACAUGAAACAUAUGCAUACGACUCAAUCUCCAAUUACUCUUUCAACGAACCAUGAAUGACAAUGCCCCAAAUUAACUAGAUUGACCAAUUAACUCUCAGAUUUCCCUAGAUUCAUUGAAUUGAAUGGGAUACGCAUUACAACCAAAUUAUUCUUAUCAAGGACCCUAACUAUGGAAUACGCAUGAUAGACACAUAUCAAAGAUCAUUAAGUUCAAUAGAAAUCAUAAGCAUUGACGAGGCAUUCAUAACUAUGGGAUACGCAUGUUACUCUUGCCUAUGAUUCACUUAACACAAUCGUGACUAGCGACUUUUACUACUUAAGAAUAUAAGUUAAUAACGAUUAGGUGAAAUUCCCUUAUACUCUAGCAUCAAAUUCAUGCAUGCAAACUAAGUGUCGACCCUCAAUCAACAUACAUAAACAUGUUAUCAAUCAAAUAGAUAAGUAAACCACAUUCGCGAUUCAUGAAAUCAUAAUUGGA
This 3719-nucleotide long non-coding RNA is filed under the name Malus domestica (apple). Its description in RNAcentral is "long non-coding RNA (MDOM_LNC020976)". Lineage: Eukaryota; Viridiplantae; Streptophyta; Magnoliopsida; Rosales; Rosaceae. The record is from RNAcentral.